UGCAAGAAUGCUUGUGCGGCGAGUGAGCGGCAAAAGCUCAAAUUUGAAAUCUGGCGCCUUCGGUGUCCGAGUUGUAAUUUGAAGAUUGUAACCUUGGGGUUGGCUCUUGUCUAUGUUUCUUGGAACAGGACGUCACAGAGGGUGAGAAUCCCGUGCGAUGAGAUGCCCAAUUCUAUGUAAGGUGCUUUCGAAGAGUCGAGUUGUUUGGGAAUGCAGCUCUAAGUGGGUGGUAAAUUCCAUCUAAAGCUAAAUAUUGGCGAGAGACCGAUAGCGAACAAGUACAGUGAUGGAAAGAUGAAAAGAACUUUGAAAAGAGAGUGAAAAAGUACGUGAAAUUGUUGAAAGGGAAGGGUUUGAGAUCAGACUCGAUAUUUUGUGAGCCUUGCCUUCGUGGCGGGGUGACCCGCAGCUUAUCGGGCCAGCAUCGGUUUGGGCGGUAGGAUAAUGGCGUAGGAAUGUGACUUUACUUCGGUGAAGUGUUAUAGCCUGCGUUGAUGCUGCCUGCCUAGACCGAGGACUGCGAUUUUAUCAAGGAUGCUGGCAUAAUGAUCCCAAACCGCCCGUCUUAAACACAGGGAACCAA
RNAcentral lists this ribosomal RNA (583 nucleotides) under Meyerozyma guilliermondii. RNAcentral's name for it is "eukaryotic LSU rRNA". It matches the Rfam family "Eukaryotic large subunit ribosomal RNA", at positions 68 to 664 of the family's 3401-position model. The record is from RNAcentral. Lineage: Eukaryota; Fungi; Ascomycota; Pichiomycetes; Serinales; Debaryomycetaceae.